This 73-nucleotide transfer RNA is filed under the name Candidatus Pacearchaeota archaeon. RNAcentral describes it as "tRNA-Thr". It matches the Rfam family "tRNA". From Rfam's summary of the family: Transfer RNA (tRNA) molecules are approximately 80 nucleotides in length. Their secondary structure includes four short double-helical elements and three loops (D, anti-codon, and T loops). Further hydrogen bonds mediate the characteristic L-shaped molecular structure. tRNAs have two regions of fundamental functional importance: the anti-codon, which is responsible for specific mRNA codon recognition, and the 3' end, to which the tRNAs corresponding amino acid is attached (by aminoacyl-tRNA synthetases). tRNAs cope with the degeneracy of the genetic code in two manners: having more than one tRNA (with a specific anti-codon) for a particular amino acid; and 'wobble' base-pairing, i.e. permitting non-standard base-pairing at the 3rd anti-codon position. The record is from RNAcentral. Lineage: Archaea; Nanobdellati.
GCCUGCAUAGCUCAGCUGAUAGAGCGUCUGUCUUGUAAACAGAAGGUCGGGGGUUUGACUCCCUCUGCAGGCU